CGACUUCGUGUUUCGGCAGUACACCAAAUUAUCCGCUCGACCCGUCCGAAAGAUACCGAAAUGGCAGCUAAGGUAAGACAAUCGCAAUUUUAACAUUAUGUUUCCCGUGAAAACGUGAAAACGCGAACACGAUUUCAAAAACGAUUACACGGCAAUGAUACCAACCACGUUUUUCCGCAGAUGAUCAUUCUCGCCGCGUGCGUGUCCGCCGCCCUCGCCCAAUACGCCGCCCCGGCCUACGAACCCGCGUACCCGGCUUACCCGGCGCCCAAGGCCUACGCCGCCGAGCCCACUUACGCCCCGGCCCCGUACAGCUUCGAG
Molecule: non-coding RNA, 321 nt
Organism: Cinara cedri
Lineage: Eukaryota; Metazoa; Arthropoda; Insecta; Hemiptera; Aphididae
Source: the annotation of a GenBank genome assembly